This is a non-coding RNA of Schizosaccharomyces pombe (fission yeast), 1051 nucleotides long. NCBI's taxonomy places the organism in Eukaryota, Fungi, Ascomycota, Schizosaccharomycetes, Schizosaccharomycetales, Schizosaccharomycetaceae. The record is from the annotation of a GenBank genome assembly.
ACCACCGAAAUAACGAAACCCAAAAUCAAACAACGAAAAAUAAAGAAGAGGAAAAAAAUGAAAAUAUUCGUUACUAUUAUAUAUGUAGUAUAGAAAGACAGCUAUUAUAGCAAUUAGAGCAACAAACACUAGGUAAAAAAUGAAUGAGGAAUGAACAAUGGAAAUGCUUCGAAAAAAUAACACGACCAGAGAAAUUCUUGCACGUUUCAAAGUAUCAAGUGAAUUGAAAGUCUUGCGAGAAAAUGUAAAAAAGCAGCUGGAGCUUUUAGAGAUGAUGGUAGUAGGUAGGUUUGAAUUUUGAUUUAUUUAUUUUUUUUUUGGGAAAAUAUUUUGUAAAAAAUAAACCGCAACAACAAGAAAUCGAAAAAGGGAAAAAAUAAAACUACCACUCAGAUCCUUUUAGGUAUAAAACCUUGAUUCGACAAAAGGAAAGAACAUUUCGUUUAUAAAUACCUGAAAUCGGUGUCUGCCAUAUUCUGUACUCUAGAUAUUGGGUUGUAGGAGUGCUACUAGUUAUCAGGUUAUCUAGGGACAGGUGGUAACAAGCGAGGCGACAAUUUAUUUCAAUGGCAAAAAUAACAUACUACGGUGGAAAGCGAGGACAAACUAGCAAACAAUCACUCAUUAAACUGCUCACUGAUAUGAUCUUGGUAAGAGGAGUAAGGCAAAUCUAGGAAAACGAAGAAAAGAUCAUCAGAAUCGUCAUUGAACGGAAAGGAAAAGAGUGUUAAGGUAAGAGAAACUAGUAAGGAUGGAUAGUGUUGGAAAUGAGAGCGAAUCCCUAUCUAACAGCAAAUUGAUUAAGCAGGGCAGGCAAAAGAUGUCGAGAUAAAAAAACGGAAAGAGAGAGAGAAAAAGUGUGUUUGCUGUAGUUGAUGAAAAUUUGUAAUUGAUUUUUUUUUACUUUGAAAAAUGAUAUGACCUUCAAUACUUUUGAUGCUUUAUGAUGGAAAUAGUGGAAUGAACAUGUUCGAUUGAUUAUGUCUUUCGCUUUUUCAUUUUAUAUUUUUCGCUACUGUAUUAUUGCUAAUUUUUAUUUCAUUCAUAUUGG